AACCGCUAGGUGGAUACUUGGACGCAACCGAUUGACCGGUACUUCACGUUUCGUCUUAACGUUCGUAUUGAGUAGUUUGGUGGUUUUUGUCGUCCAAUAUGGAUGAUGAAGAUGAACGAUUGGAAGAAGACUUUUAUCAAUUCCUUAACUUACCAAGAAAUGCCCCACAAGAAGAGAUCACAAAUGCAUACAGAAGACUAAGUCGCAUUUAUCAUCCAGACAAACAUACUGAUGCCCUCCGAAAGAAAGAAGCUGAAGUUUUGUUCAAUAAGACAAAAAAAGCAUAUGAAGUUCUGAGUGAUCCCCAUAAAAGAGCCAUAUAUGACAGUCUAGGAACCAAGGGAUUAGAAACAGAAGGAUGGGAGAUUGUUCAAAGAACUAAAACCCCACAAGAAAUCAGAGAAGAAUAUGAACUUUUAGCUCAGCAAAAAGAGGAACGUCGUCUCCUCCAGAGGACUAACCCUAAAAGCUCAAUAUCAGUUUCUGUUGAUGCCACUGAAUUGUUUAAUCCUUACGAAGAUGAAUAUGAUGAAUUUGGAUCUGAUGGUUUUCCAUCUAUUGUGGUGAAAGGCAUGAACUUUUCUCAAUCUAUUGAGGCACCUCUUACUUUAAAUGACACAGCUUUUCUGUCUGGUCAGCUUUCAACACAUAAAGGGUCAGGUUCUGGCUCAGUAAAUGUAUCCUUGAGACGAAUCACUUCACCUGACGGAUGGGCAGAACUCGAAAUGGGAUUUGGCAGCGGUCUUUCCCUUGCCGCCAAGGGUUUCCGCAAUCUGACCAGAAGGAUCUUUACUAAUGUUUCCGGUAUCGUUACUUCUACAGAUCGAGGUUUAACCCUUGGCUUUGUAUCCACGUUGGCGCAUCAAUUGGAUAAGAACACCGUUGGUUAUCUUACAUAUAAAGCCUCUGGACCUAGUUCGAUGAGCACCAUGGUGGUCAAGGACACAUCUAGAUAUCGGGCACAAGUUAAUUUUGUUCUUGGUAUCCCGCACUCCUACUUCGCCAUCACAUACUGCCACAAACUAGAAAAACACGAUGGAAGAUUACGAGGAGCUAUCAAAGCCGGAACCUUUGGAGCUAUGGUAGAAUAUGGUCUUGAGCGUAAAGUAUCAGAACAUAGCUCGCUCGCAGUUUCUAUGACAGUUGGCGUUCCGACUGGUGUAAUGCUUAAAAUCAAAUUAUCUCGAGGGAACCAAAUCUACAAUUUUCCAAUCCAUUUGUGUCAUGAAGUUUUGCCAAGCCCCAUCUUUUACGGAACAGUCACACCCAUGGUUGCAUGGAUCAUCAUACGUCGAGUGGUUGUGGAACCUUACAUGCAGCAACAGAAAGUUAAAGAUAUUGAAAGACAUCGAGCUGUGCAUCACUCACAAAUGCUCGCACGUCGCAGGGAAGCCGAAAUUUCUAUUGACCUGAUGAAGGAAACAUACAGACGGAUUGUCGAGGACGAGGAAAACCGAAAAGGCUUAAUUAUCACAAAAGCGCUUUACGGUCGAUGGUUAGAUCUCAGCCAUCGCGAUCUCGGUGACGCCAUCACCGACGUUACCAUCCCUCUUCAAUGCCUAGUCAGGGAUUCCAAGCUUAUACUUCACGAGGCAUCCAAGUGUCAGCUUCCAGGAUUUUAUGAUCCUUGCAUGGGUGAAGACAAGUCUUUGUAUGUACAGUACUCAUUUCAUGGGGUUCCACAUGAAGUGACAAUCCAGGAUACGGAUCCCCUUCGGAUACCCAAGCAGUCUCACAGAAAACAGCUCUGAAAAUGACCAGGCAAUAGAUGACAUUUUAAUAAGGUGAUUAUGGACCUACAGUAGGCAUUACAAAUGUUGAUUUGAUUUUACAGCUGUGUUUGGAUCAACAUUUUAUGCCAGCAUCUGUCCUACCAAGAAAAAUAUUCAUGACUUGUUUUAGGGUGAUGCUUGAUAGCUGUACCAGCUGACCACAUCCUACUGUAUGCUGGGGAAAACUGAAAAGGUAUUUCAUCAUACACUUUCCUGGCGGAA
This is an RNA transcript of Daphnia magna, 1994 nucleotides long. It is a transcript of the gene named dnaJ homolog subfamily C member 11, with no coding region annotated. The record is from RefSeq and is a predicted model, not a curated record. NCBI's taxonomy places the organism in Eukaryota, Metazoa, Arthropoda, Branchiopoda, Diplostraca, Daphniidae. The transcript is spliced from 11 exons.